AGCAAUCCUGGUGGCGAGUGGCGAACGGGUGAGUAAUACAUCGGAACGUGCCCUGUCGUGGGGGAUAACUAGUCGAAAGAUUAGCUAAUACCGCAUACGACCUGAGGGUGAAAGCGGGGGACCGUAAGGCCUCGCGCGAUAGGAGCGGCCGAUGUCUGAUUAGCUAGUUGGUGGGGUAAAGGCCCACCAAGGCGACGAUCAGUAGCUGGUCUGAGAGGACGAUCAGCCACACUGGGACUGAGACACGGCCCAGACUCCUACGGGAGGCAGCAGUGGGGAAUUUUGGACAAUGGGGGCAACCCUGAUCCAGCAAUGCCGCGUGUGUGAAGAAGGCCUUCGGGUUGUAAAGCACUUUUGUCCGGAAAGAAAUCCCCUGCUCUAAUACAGCGGGGGGAUGACGGUACCGGAAGAAUAAGCACCGGCUAACUACGUGCCAGCAGCCGCGGUAAUACGUAGGGUGCGAGCGUUAAUCGGAAUUACUGGGCGUAAAGCGUGCGCAGGCGGUUUUGUAAGACAGGCGUGAAAUCCCCGAGCUCAACUUGGGAAUGGCGCUUGUGACUGCAAGGCUAGAGUAUGUCAGA
This 581-nucleotide ribosomal RNA is filed under the name Cupriavidus basilensis. RNAcentral's name for it is "bacterial SSU rRNA". It matches the Rfam family "Bacterial small subunit ribosomal RNA", at positions 78 to 655 of the family's 1533-position model. The record is from RNAcentral. Lineage: Bacteria; Pseudomonadati; Pseudomonadota; Betaproteobacteria; Burkholderiales; Burkholderiaceae.